UGAGUUGAGGGAUGCUGUGCUUCUAGUGUUUGCAAACAAGCAAGAUCUUCCAAAUGCAAUGAAUGCUGCUGAGAUAACUGAUAAGCUUGGUCUUCACUCUCUUCGUCAGCGCCACUGGUAAGCUAACUUGUAGCUGUCAGAUGCCCUUAUCCAGCAAUCCACCAUUCUCAUGUUAACAGACUUGUUUAUAUCAUUCAUUGCAGGUAUAUCCAAAGCACAUGUGCCACUUCUGGUGAAGGGCUGUAUGAGGGAUUGGACUGGCUCUCAAACAACAUUGCAAACAAGGUAGAAUCAUGUGGUAUCUAUCUCUACAUUUGGAUUAUUCGAAUGUGAUGAUUGAUAAUUUGGUUAACUAAACUGUGCCUUUCUGACUGCAGGCUUAGAUGGCAUAACUCCCAUGUUCUCGAUUGCAAUGAGUGCUGGAAUACAGAGUCUAUAUUUGUUUUGUAUUCUGGAUUUUCCGCCAGCUCAUUUUGUCUGUACUUGUCUUAACAUGUUUGUGGUUGCUUUUGCAAACUUUUCCGUUUGUUUUCUGUAGCUUCAGAUUUUUUCAUUAAUUUUCGUUAUGUUCAUGAUGUUAUCUAAAUAGCAUGUUUUGUUUUUCAGAUAAUUUUUUAAGGUAAUGAAUCUUGAGACUUUUUCCUUUUAUCCUAAUUGUCCAGUGUUCCACUAAGUGAAAGUAUUUGCUGUGCCUAUGGAAUUUAGCACGAAUGUAUUUAAGCGGUCAGUCAACCUUGCAAGCAAAUGUAGGUAUCAGAAAAGGUGGAGCUGGCAGUAGAGGCAUCGCAAGUUGAGACUCGAGAGAGCAUUUUUAUUUGGUAAAAUUUUUGCAGAAAUCAUCGUUACUGUGCAAUUUAUUUUGAGCAGAGGUCCAGGGACCCACGGGAAAGAGAAGUAGCACAGUGUGUGGGUUCAUUUGACUAGAGAUUGAAAGGGCAUUACCCUCUUAAGAA
This 953-nucleotide long non-coding RNA is filed under the name Populus trichocarpa (black cottonwood). RNAcentral's name for it is "long non-coding RNA (PTRI_LNC003312)". The record is from RNAcentral. Lineage: Eukaryota; Viridiplantae; Streptophyta; Magnoliopsida; Malpighiales; Salicaceae.